CCUACGGGAGGCAGCAGUAGGGAAUCUUUCACAAUGGGCGAAAGCCUGAUGGAGCAACGCCGCGUGCAGGAUGAAGGCCUUCGGGUUGUAAACUGCUUUUAUAAGCGAGAAAUAUGAUGGUAACUUAUGAAUAAGGAUCGGCUAACUACGUGCCAGCAGCCGCGGUCAUACGUAGGAUCCGAGCAUUAUCCGGAGUGACUGGGUGUAAAGAGUUGCGUAGGUGGGAUAAUAAGUAGCUAGUGAAAGCUGGUGGCUCAACCAUUCAGACUAUUAGCGAAACUGUUAAGCUCGAGACCGGUAGGGGUAACUGGAAUUUCUAGUGUAGGAGUGAAAUGCGUAGAUAUUAGGAGGAACACCAAUAGCGUAGGCAGGUUACUGGGACGGUUCUGACGCUGAGGCACGAAAGCGUAGGGAGCAAACGGGAUUAGAUACCCUAGUAGUC
RNAcentral lists this ribosomal RNA (442 nucleotides) under uncultured bacterium. RNAcentral describes it as "partial 16S ribosomal RNA". It matches the Rfam family "Bacterial small subunit ribosomal RNA", at positions 338 to 795 of the family's 1533-position model. The record is from RNAcentral.